AACCAUAGAAACCUGCGGAGUACCUGCGGAAGGAUCAUUACAUUCAGUAGCCUAGCUACUUGUUUACACCCUUGUUUUUUUUGCGCACUUCAUUGUAUCCCUCGGCGGGCUUGCUCGCCGGUUGGACAACAUUUAUAACCUUUUUUAAUCUUCAAUCAGCGUCUGAAUUAUAUUUAAUAAUUACAACUUUUAACAAUGGAUCU
This 203-nucleotide unclassified non-coding RNA is filed under the name soil metagenome. RNAcentral describes it as "partial contains 5.8S ribosomal RNA, internal transcribed spacer 2, and large subunit ribosomal RNA". The record is from RNAcentral.